Molecule: long non-coding RNA, 983 nt
Filed under: Ananas comosus (pineapple)
Lineage: Eukaryota; Viridiplantae; Streptophyta; Magnoliopsida; Poales; Bromeliaceae
Description: long non-coding RNA (ACOM_LNC030898)
Source: RNAcentral
CGUUGUUCAUUUUUUGGGAAAACACUUCUCAAAACUUCAAAAAUAUUUUAUUUAUCCCUAUUUUUUUUUUUCUUUCUAAUAUACCCUUCAUAUGUUUCUCCGUUAUUCUAAAGUACCCUUGCAGUUACCACAUGUUAAGCUAACUUAAGUUAAAUAUGAGUUAAAUAUCUAUCACAAUUAAAAAGAAUUAAAAUGCCACUUUUGUUCUUAACUUAAGGGCAAAUAAGAAAUGUUGGUGACGGUAGAAAUGUAUAUUUGAAAAGAUCAAAAAAUAAAAUAUUUUUUGUGUCCCAAAUUUAAGGGCAAAUAAGAAAUAUUAGUGAUGGUAGAAGAAUAUAUUUGAAAGGAUAAAAUAAUAAUUUUAUAGAAAUAAUAGAGUUCAUUAACAGAUUUUAACUCUAGAAGUAUAUUUGAAAUAAGUUGGAACAUAAAAAGAAUAUUUUCAAUAUUAUCCUUCUAAGAGNUGUAAAAUGACCAUUUUGCCCCUCGCCAUUGUCGUCUUCUUUCCCAUCUUCCUCAGCCGUCCCUUCGUUCGAUCGCGAUUCCCACCUCAAUCGGCCGCGAUUUCUCUCAUUUUCUUUUCCAUCUGCUCCCCUUCUCCUCCUGCACCCUCGCCGCCCUCGAUUUCGGCGACAGUAGGAGAAAACUGAAGUGGGCGACAGUAGGAGAAGGGCAAAAAAGGCGAAGGCAAGGCGGCGAAGGACGGCGAAGGGGAUGUGGGUGAGGGCGAGGCAGUGGAGGACGGCGAGGCGGCGAGGCGGCGGCGAGGUAGCGAGCCGGAGGGAGGCGAAGCAAGAGGGAGAUAGCGGAGGGGUAUUUUCGGCAUAAAAAUAUAUUUUUUAACAGAACCCUAACGGUAGGGGGUGAAGUGCACAUUUUUUAUUUUACAGGAGGGCAAAGUAUAGGUUUUUAAAUGUCAGAAAGGAAAAGUGAAAAAGUGGGUUAUUACAAAGGAAUUUUAUGUAAUUUAGCCUAAAUUCUAU